UGAAUUUGGCGGGCAUAUCCAAAAUAAAAAAGCGCCAGAACUCUCCAGAAAAUUCUCAUUUUUUUCACGCUAUUCCAAAAAUCCUAAGCCCCAAAUUGCAAAAUGAGGAUGGCGUAGACACUCCGCCUUGUUUUCCUCCCUCCUUAAUUGGUGCGGCUUUUUCUUUCUCUCUCUCUUUCUAAGUGUGUCAUAUGCUUAAUUGAAGUUCGAUUACUUUGAUUUCAACUCAGUUGGUCCUAAAAUUUUGACUGUUAUAAAUUGGUAUUUUGUUCAAUCUAGGAUUCAUGAUAGAAUAAAUAUAUAUUUUUAUUUAAGAUAAGGAACCUCCAAUGAUAUUUGUUUUCUUUCAUAGCUUACCCGUUUUCUACUUCACUUUGUCUUUGUAGGAAGGUAGAGAGGAAACCGAUGGCUAUCAUCUCCGCACAUCCAAUCUCCUUUUAGUUUGAAGUAAACUGGGCUCUGCUCUCUUUGGAAAAUAUAAUUUUCUCUUUCUUUUAGAUUUGUAUGGCUCUCUGUUAUGCGAAGAUUUAAAUAAAGUUGUGAGAUGGUUUUGAUUUUUUUUUUUUGUGAUCUAUUGAAGCAAGUAAAAGAUAUUAAAAUUCUUGAUGCAAAAUGAAUAUUUUCUUUAUUUCUUGGUUGUAGACACCUAUAUGUAGCAAAUCUGGAAUUAUUUGUUUUGAGUUACAUAUGUUGAUAUCC
RNAcentral lists this long non-coding RNA (699 nucleotides) under Nicotiana benthamiana. Its description in RNAcentral is "long non-coding RNA (NBEN_LNC009087)". The record is from RNAcentral. Lineage: Eukaryota; Viridiplantae; Streptophyta; Magnoliopsida; Solanales; Solanaceae.